GAUGAACGCUAGCUACAGGCUUAACACAUGCAAGUCGAGGGGCAUCAGGAUGUAGCAAUACAUUGCUGGCGACCGGCGCACGGGUGAGUAACACGUAUCCAACCUGCCUUAUACUCGGGGAUAACCCUUCGAAAGAAGGACUAAUACCCGAUGGCAUUAUCCUUCCACAUGGUGGGAUGAUUAAAGAAUUUCGGUAUUUGAUGGGGAUGCGUUCCAUUAGCUUGUUGGUAAGGUAACGGCUUACCAAGGCUUCGAUGGAUAGGGGUUCUGAGAGGAAGGUCCCCCACACUGGAACUGAGACACGGUCCAGACUCCUACGGGAGGCAGCAGUGAGGAAUAUUGGUCAAUGGCCGCAAGGCUGAACCAGCCAUGUCGCGUGCGGGAUGACGGCCCUACGGGUCUUAAACCGCUUUUGCACGGGAAGAAAAGCGUCUACGUGUAGACGUGUGACGGUACCGUGCGAAUAAGCAUCGGCUAACUCCGUGCCAGCAGCCGCGGUAAUACGGAGGAUGCGAGCGUUAUCCGGAUUUAUUGGGUUUAAAGGGUGCGCAGGCGGGAUAUUAAGUCAGGGGUGAAAUUUUGCGGCUCAACCGUAAGACUGCCUUUGAUACUGGUAUCCUUGAGUCGGGUCGAGGCAUGCGGAAUGCGGCGUGUAGCGGUGAAAUGCAUAGAUAUGCCGCAGAACGCCGAUUGCGAAGGCAGCAUGCCAGCCCCGUACUGACGCUGAGGCACGAAAGCGCGGGUAUCAAACAGGAUUAGAUACCCUGGUAGUCCGCGCCGUAAACGAUGAUUACCGGUUGUUCGCGGUAAACGGCGAGUGACUGAGCGAAAGCAUUAAGUAAUCCACCUGGGGAGUACGUCGGCAACGAUGAAACUCAAAGGAAUUGACGGGGGCCCGCACAAGCGGAGGAACAUGUGGUUUAAUUCGAUGAUACGCGAGGAACCUACCCGGGUUUGAACGCAUUUCGACCGGUGUGGAAACACACUUUCUAGCAAUAGCGAUUUGCGAGGUGCUGCAUGGUUGUCGUCAGCUCGUGCCGUGAGGUGUCGGCUUAAGUGCCGUAACGAGCGCAUCCCUUAUCGAUAGUUACCAUCAGGUGAUGCUGGGGACUCUAUCGAGACUGCCGGCGUAAGCUGUGAGGAAGGUGGGGAUGACGUCAAAUCAGCACGGCCCUUACAUCCGGGGCGACACACGUGUUACAAUGGCGUGGACAAAGGGCAGCUACCUGGUGACAGGAUGCUAAUCCCAAAACCACGUCUCAGUUCGGAUCGAAGUCUGCAACCCGACUUCGUGAAGCUGGAUUCGCUAGUAAUCGCGCAUCAGCCAUGGCGCGGUGAAUACGUUCCCGGGCCUUGUACACACCGCCCGUCAAGCCAUGGGAGUUGGGGGUACCUAAAGUCCGUAACCGCAAGGAUCGGCCUAGGGUAAAACCGAUGACUGGGGC
Molecule: ribosomal RNA, 1445 nt
Filed under: uncultured Marinilabiliaceae bacterium
Lineage: Bacteria; Pseudomonadati; Bacteroidota; Bacteroidia; Marinilabiliales; Marinilabiliaceae
Description: uncultured Marinilabiaceae bacterium 16S ribosomal RNA
Rfam family: Bacterial small subunit ribosomal RNA
Source: RNAcentral